This 230-nucleotide long non-coding RNA is filed under the name Spirodela polyrhiza (greater duckweed). RNAcentral's name for it is "long non-coding RNA (SPOL_LNC002031)". The record is from RNAcentral. Lineage: Eukaryota; Viridiplantae; Streptophyta; Magnoliopsida; Alismatales; Araceae.
AUUUUUUUUCCAACCCAAUAAUGUGGCUGCUUUUUAUUAUUAUUAAACUAGCCUUUCAAUGUGCUUGGUUUCUUUUUCAAAAUUUGGCCAAUUAGCAUGACUGUCUGGCUUCUUUUAACUAUUUGACUAGCCAGAUGGUGUGGUUGUGCUAUUUGUUCUAUCAGCUGGACAAAUCUUUCUGCUUUUAUUUGUUCAGUCAACUCGACUGAUGCGUUUUUUUUCCUUUCGGC